UAGCAAUAGGUUGAUGGCGACCGGCGCACGGGUGAGUAACACGUAUCCAACCUACCGGUUAUUCUGGGAUAGCCUUUCGAAAGAAAGAUUAAUACCGGAUAGUAUAACGAGAAGGCAUCUUUUUGUUAUUAAAGAAUUUCGAUAAUCGAUGGGGAUGCGUUCCAUUAGUUUGUUGGCGGGGUAACGGCCCACCAAGACAUCGAUGGAUAGGGGUUCUGAGAGGAAGGUCCCCCACAUUGGAACUGAGACACGGUCCAGACUCCUACGGGAGGCAGCAGUGAGGAAUAUUGGUCAAUGGACGAGAGUCUGAACCAGCCAAGUAGCGUGAAGGAUGACUGCCCUAUGGGUUGUAAACUUCUUUUAUAUGGGAAUAAAGUGAGCCACGUGUGGCUUUUUGUAUGUACCAUACGAAUAAGGAUCGGCUAACUCCGUGCCAGCAGCCGCGGUAAUACGGAGGAUCCGAGCGUUAUCCGGAUUUAUUGGGUUUAAAGGGAGCGUAGGCGGACUAUUAAGUCAGCUGUGAAAGUUUGCGGCUCAACCGUAAAAUUGCAGUUGAUACUGGUCGUCUUGAGUGCAGUAGAGGUAGGCGGAAUUCGUGGUGUAGCGGUGAAAUGCUUAGAUAUCACGAAGAACUCCGAUUGCGAAGGCAGCUUACUGGACUGUAACUGACGCUGAUGCUCGAAAGUGUGGGUAUCAAACAGGAUUAGAUACCCUGGUAGUCCACACAGUAAACGAUGAAUACUCGCUGUUUGCGAUAUACAGCAAGCGGCCAAGCGAAAGCAUUAAGUAUUCCACCUGGGGAGUAC
This 806-nucleotide ribosomal RNA is filed under the name uncultured bacterium. RNAcentral describes it as "bacterial SSU rRNA". It matches the Rfam family "Bacterial small subunit ribosomal RNA", at positions 77 to 883 of the family's 1533-position model. The record is from RNAcentral.